CAUCUUGCCUUCUGUUCCUGUCCUUUCGUAUCCUGGCUGGCCGUUUCCACGGAACGCCAGCUUUGCCGUCAUCAGACAUGCUUCGGCCCGCCAGGUUUGGAAGAAAAAGAGCACAUAAUCUGGCAACAAGCGACGUCUUCAUCUGCCAUCUGCGCACCGACGAGCCUAUAUGAACGCCCACCGGACCGCUCUUCACUUGGGCACGGCAUCGCAUCAAAAAUGGGGCGUUCACCGAUGCUCUUGUUACAGGUUCUCUAUGUAAAGCAUUCACAAUGCUUAUGUGCAAGGCCUUCAAGGUAUGUGGCCAAAGGACGACCUGCGGAAACUGUGCACUCAUUCAGUGCUGUGAUUUUCAGAGCAAAGUUCACCUUUGCCCUGAAAAUCACAGCGCUGAAAAUCUUCAAGUUUGAGAAACUGAAGCAGCAGACAGCUCCAAGACAUAAUUUGUGCAAGUCGCAUUUAGAAGAGCUGCAAACAACAAAAGAAAAAUAAGAAUAAAAGGUGUAUCCCCAGUG
Molecule: long non-coding RNA, 515 nt
Organism: Rhipicephalus microplus (southern cattle tick)
Lineage: Eukaryota; Metazoa; Arthropoda; Arachnida; Ixodida; Ixodidae
Source: RefSeq, a predicted model, not a curated record